UGGGCAUAGUUAUUGUGUAUAUUGUGUAUAGUUAUUGUGUAUAAUGUGUAUAGUUAUUGUGUAUAAUGUGUGUAUUUAUUGUGUAUAAUGUGUAUAGUUAUUGUGUAUUAUUGUACAUCACACAUGACAUUCUGAACUGGGUUAACUUGGCUGGCGUGUGUAGAAGCAGAUGGGUGCACACAUAUUGUGGUGAGAUGGUGAGAAGGAAGCUUUGUCAUCAGCAUCCUCAGAUGUGUGAGGCCUGUGUGAGGUAGUG
Molecule: long non-coding RNA, 256 nt
Organism: Clupea harengus (Atlantic herring)
Lineage: Eukaryota; Metazoa; Chordata; Actinopteri; Clupeiformes; Clupeidae
Source: Ensembl